This is a long non-coding RNA of Vicia villosa (hairy vetch), 866 nucleotides long. RefSeq lists it as uncharacterized. NCBI's taxonomy places the organism in Eukaryota, Viridiplantae, Streptophyta, Magnoliopsida, Fabales, Fabaceae. The record is from RefSeq and is a predicted model, not a curated record. The transcript has 3 exons.
AUGGGUUAAGUGACUAUUCAGCUUCCUCACCCCCCAAGUCUAUCUUCCUCUCGUUCUCUCAUCGCACAAAGGCGAUUUUCGGCGAGCAUCCGCCAUCAUCGCUGCCGCGAAAUGGCCUUGAAUCAGUAACUCCCAAACAUGAGCCUACCCUAAAAUCACGUCCUGAGUCUAAUUCCCUCAACAGAUUACACGAAAAACUCUUCAUUUGGCCGAAUCGAAGAACUUCAUUACUAAACCUAAGUUCUAGUUAUCACGGAUUCAAGUAAUUUCCAGAAAUUGAAGCAAGAAGUAACUUAAUCAUAUGAAAACGCACAAAGAAGAAUCAUAAAAUGCCUCGGAGGAACCUGUUUAGGCGACCUGAGCUUCCGAUACGGCGGCGGAGAUUCCCGACCACCGUGAAACUCAGGUAUAUGUGCGGUUGAUUGGCUAUUAGCAUGAACAUGGUCAGAUGGAGGUUAGGGAGUAUAGCAGGGCUGUCAUGUGUAGCUCUUAAAUUGGUUCUGCAUGAACUGUUUGAAUGAAGAUUCAGUGCAUUUGAUUUGCACGUAACUUGCUCGAUUCAGUUCUAAACAUGUCCAAAUGUAGGUUGAAGUCAUAACUCUGGAGCUUAUUUGGCCAUGAAGAAGGGAAGAAUUGGAAAGAAUACGACGGAAACUCGAGGAGGAAGAGGAAAUGGAAGACCUUAGUCCUUAGGAUAAGUUUGGGGAUGUAUUUGAAUGAAAUGAUUUGUGUAAUUUUCUUGAUGACAAUGUAAUUGAAUUGAAGUUGUAAUGGUGUACUGAACAUGCCCUUGGAUGAGAGAAUUUGAAUCUUGACUUAAAAUGUGUAAUACUUCUUUUUUAUCAAAGUACUUUUGAUUUUUUCUC